Non-coding RNA from Erinaceus europaeus (western European hedgehog), 131 nucleotides. Lineage: Eukaryota; Metazoa; Chordata; Mammalia; Eulipotyphla; Erinaceidae. The record is from Rfam.
AGAAAGGGCUUCUGUUGUGAGUGACACAUGUAGGGUAGCUCAUUUUCUCUAUGUGCAAUCGACAUCAAGAGAUUUCAGAAACAUAAUUUUUGUUGUUUGAGCAGCUGGUGAUCAUUGGCCCCAAAAAAUAC